Molecule: ribosomal RNA, 253 nt
Filed under: uncultured bacterium
Lineage: Bacteria
Description: partial 16S ribosomal RNA
Rfam family: Bacterial small subunit ribosomal RNA
Source: RNAcentral
UACGUAGGGCGCAAGCGUUAUCCGGAAUUAUUGGGCGUAAAGAGCUCGUAGGCGGUUUGUCGCGUCUGCCGUGAAAGUCCGGGGCUCAACUCCGGAUCUGCGGUGGGUACGGGCAGACUAGAGUGAUGUAGGGGAGACUGGAAUUCCUGGUGUAGCGGUGAAAUGCGCAGAUAUCAGGAGGAACACCGAUGGCGAAGGCAGCUCUCUGGGACGGUACUGACGCUGAGACGCGAAAGCGUGGGGAGCAAACAGG